RNAcentral lists this ribosomal RNA (467 nucleotides) under uncultured bacterium. RNAcentral describes it as "bacterial SSU rRNA". It matches the Rfam family "Bacterial small subunit ribosomal RNA", at positions 29 to 477 of the family's 1533-position model. The record is from RNAcentral.
AGCGAACGUUAGCGGCGGGCCUAACACAUGCAAGUCGAGCGAGAAAAGGGCUUCGGCCCUUAGUAAAGCGGCGGACGGGUGAGUAACACGUAGGUAAUCCUCCCUUGAGCGGGGGACAACGAGCCGAAAGGCUCGCUAAUACCGCAUACGUUUCUCGGGACUCCGGUCCUGAGAAGGAAAGCUAGGCCGCAAGGUCCGGCACUCGAGGAGGAGCCUGCGUCGCAUCAGCUAGUUGGUGGGGUAACGGCCUACCAAGGCGAAGACGCGUAGCUGGUCUGAGAGGAUGAUCAGCCACACUGAAACUGAGACACGGUUCAGACUCCUACGGGAGGCAGCAGUGGGGAAUAUUAGACAAUGGGCGCAAGCCUGAUCCAGCCACGCCGCGUGAGUGAUGAAGGCCUUCGGGUCGUAAAGCUCUGUGGGAAGGGACGAACCGCCGUAGUUCGAUAGCUAACGGCAUGACGGUA